GGGCGUAGAGGGCUCGCAGGCGGUUUCUUAAGUCUGAUGUGAAAGCCCCCGGCUCAACCGGGGAGGGUCAUUGGAAACUGGGAAACUUGAGUGCAGAAGAGGAGAGUGGAAUUCCACGUGUAGCGGUGAAAUGCGUAGAGAUGUGGAGGAACACCAGUGGCGAAGGCGACUCUCUGGUCUGUAACUGACGCUGAGGAGCGAAAGCGUGGGGAGCGAACAGGAUUAGAUACCCUGGUAGUCCACGCCGUAAACGAUGAGUGCUAAGUGUUAGGGGGUUUCCGCCCCUUAGUGCUGCAGCUAACGCAUUAAGCACUCCGCCUGGGGAGUACGGUCGCAAGACUGAAACUCAAAGGAAUUGACGGGGGCCCGCACAAGCGGUGGAGCAUGUGGUUUAAUUCGAAGCAACGCGAAGAACCUUACCAGGUCUUGACAUCCUCUGACAACCCUAGAGAUAGGGCUUUCCCUUCGGGGACAGAGUGACAGGUGGUGCAUGGUUGUCGUCAGCUCGUGUCGUGAGAUGUUGGGUUAAGUCUCGCAACGAGCGCAACCCUUGAUCUUAGUUGCCAGCAUUCAGUUGGGCACUCUAAGGUGACUGCCGGUGACA
RNAcentral lists this ribosomal RNA (604 nucleotides) under Bacillus pumilus. Its description in RNAcentral is "bacterial SSU rRNA". It matches the Rfam family "Bacterial small subunit ribosomal RNA", at positions 556 to 1160 of the family's 1533-position model. The record is from RNAcentral. Lineage: Bacteria; Bacillati; Bacillota; Bacilli; Caryophanales; Bacillaceae.